Molecule: small nucleolar RNA, 158 nt
Organism: Cynara cardunculus var. scolymus (artichoke)
Lineage: Eukaryota; Viridiplantae; Streptophyta; Magnoliopsida; Asterales; Asteraceae
Product: small nucleolar RNA snoR134
Exons: 1
Source: RefSeq, a predicted model, not a curated record
UUGCAUGUGGCACCCCGGGCUUAUCUGAUAAAUGAAUUUGAUGAAGAAUCAAGCCCCAAUGCUCGUGCUAGAUUAGAUUUAUUGCCGUCAAGUGUUGCAGUUCAGCCUUUUGUACCUUUUUCAAUGGCGGUUUCUGUGUCAAAUCGACGGCUACAUCU